ACUCGAACCAGAGAUAAAAAUCUUUGCUUUUUCCGCCAUGCGAAGUGUAUCUUCUUCCACCAUCUCCAUUUUCACCACCACCACAAACACAUGUACCACCAUCGUACCAUCUUCCUCUAAUGUCUUUCUCUACCACCAAAAACACAAACACCAACAUCAUCCACACCAACUCCACCAUUUCAAUCACAAAAAAAAAACCACCGCCCCCUCCAAAUCGGUAUUAUCAUCUUUCUCGACUAUAAUCAUCGGCAGCGGCAGCAUAAUAAAGAGUAAUUGUUUUUCAAAUGCCCUAAAUUAAUUUUAAAAAAUUCAAAUUUAUCAAACAAAGAGAAUUGAGGAAACAAAUAGCAGUUACUUGUGGUAUGGAGUGUCGAAACGGAUGGUGGUGUUGUAGAGUUAUGAAAGGCAAGCUUACGUGGCUUGAGUUCGAGUGGAAGUUGGUGUUGUUGCUAGAUGUGAAAUUAAUGGUGAUCGUGGAAGCAUGUGGGCUAGUGAUGGCAUCAUUUGUACUCGAUAUAUAAUGAACCGAAGUGCUGCUAACUAAGGGUAGAAGCCCUGAGUAGCUGCUGAAAUGGGAGCUCAUAAUUAUACUAUACUCAGUAUCAAUAGAUACAUUUUUACUUUUUUAAUAAAUUUAUUUUGUUUCGUUGUACAGACCACUUAAUCGUCUUACAUAUUCUUUGGCUCUGUAUGAUGUCAUAGCACAAAUAAUUAUAGACACAUGUUUCAAUU
Long non-coding RNA from Papaver somniferum (opium poppy), 732 nucleotides. RefSeq lists it as uncharacterized. The record is from RefSeq and is a predicted model, not a curated record. NCBI's taxonomy places the organism in Eukaryota, Viridiplantae, Streptophyta, Magnoliopsida, Ranunculales, Papaveraceae. The transcript has 2 exons.